RNAcentral lists this ribosomal RNA (2762 nucleotides) under human gut metagenome. RNAcentral describes it as "bacterial LSU rRNA". It matches the Rfam family "Bacterial large subunit ribosomal RNA". The record is from RNAcentral.
AGGGCAUACGGUGGAUGCCUAGGCGCCAAGAGCCGAAGAAGGACGCGGUAAGCUGCGAAAAGCCACGGGGAACUGCAAGCAAGUAUUGAUCCGUGGAUAUCCGAAUGGGGAAACCCGGCCAUCGUCAUGGAUGGUCACCCGCAAGGGAGGGAACCUGGGGAACUGAAACAUCUAAGUACCCGGAGGAAGAGAAAUCAAACGAGAUGCCCACAGUAGCGGCGAGCGAAGAGGGCAGAGCCCAAACCGAGAAGCUCCGGCUUUUCGGGGUUGAGGACCGGCAGAAUCGAAGUCAGGCCUAGUUGAAUUACCUGGAAAGGUAAGCGAGAGAGGGUAAAAGCCCCGUAGACGAAAGGCAGAGCAGAGAGGCCGAGAUCCAGAGUACCACGAAGCACGAGGAAUUUUGUGGGAAGCAGGGGGGACCACCCUCCAAGGCUAAAAACUACUUGGCGACCGAUAGCGCAUAGUACCGUGAGGGAAAGGUGAAAAGAACCCCGGGAGGGGAGUGAAAUAGAACCUGAAACCAUAUGCUUACAAGAAGUUAGAGCCCGUUAAAGGGUGAUAGCGUGCCUUUUGUAGAAUGAACCGGCGAGUUACGAUAUGGAGCGAGGUUAAGCAGGAUAUGCGGAGCCGAAGCGAAAGCGAGUCUUAAUAGGGCGAAAGUUGCAUGUCGUAGACCCGAAACCGAGUGAUCUAGCCAUGACCAGGUUGAAGUUGGGGUAAAACCCGAUGGAGGACCGAACCGACCCCCGUUGAAACGUUGGCGGAUGAGUUGUGGCUAGGGGUGAAAUUCCAAUCGAACUCGGAGAUAGCUGGUUCUCCCCGAAAUAGCUUUAGGGCUAGCGUCGGAUAUGUGUAGUGGAGGUAGAGCACUGAAUGGGCUAGGGGGCAUAUCGCUUACCGAACCUUAUCAAACUCCGAAUGCCAUAUACAUUUAGUCCGGCAGUCAGACUACGAAUGAUAAGAUCCGUGGUCAAAAGGGAAACAGCCCAGAUCGUCAGCUAAGGUCCCAAAGUGUAAGUUAAGUGGAAAAGGAUGUGGGAUUUCAAAGACAACUAGGAUGUUGGCUUAGAAGCAGCCACUCAUUUAAAGAGUGCGUAAUAGCUCACUAGUCGAGAGGUCCUGCGCCGAAAAUGUCCGGGGCUGAAACACAACACCGAAGCUGCGGAAUUGCGAAUGCAAUUGGUAGAGGAGCAUUCUUAAUACCGACGAAGCUGUACCGGAAGGAGCAGUGGAGGGAUAAGAAGAGAGAAUGCCGGAAUGAGUAGCGAGAGAGAGGUGGGAAUCCUCUCGGCCGAAUAUCCAAGGUUUCCAGAGUAAAGCUGAUCUGCUCUGGGUAAGUCGGGGCCUAAGGCGAGGACGAGAGUCGUAGCCGAUGGACAACAGGUGGAGAUUCCUGUACUGCGGUAUGACAGAACUGUGGGGACACGUAAGGAAAGCGGAAGCCGGGAAUGGAAAGCCCGGUGCAAGCGGGGUACCAGUCACUUUGGCAAAUCCGGGUGGCAAUGGGAAGCCGUGAUGCGGAGCGAAAUAAAGUAGUGAAGUCCGUGAGCCAUGCGUCAAGAAAAGCCGCUAUCGUUUAUACCGUACCCGUACCGUAAACCGACACAGGUGGAUGAGGAGAGAAUCCUAAGGCCGGCGGAAGAAGCAUUGUCAAGGAACUCGGCAAAAUGGCCCCGUAACUUAGGGAUAAGGGGUGCCUGGGAAACCAGGCCGCAGAGAAUAGGCUCAAGCAACUGUUUAGCAAAAACACAGGUCUAUGCGAAACCGAAAGGUGAGGUAUAUGGGCUGACGCCUGCCCGGUGCUGGAAGGUUAAGAGGAGAGGUUAGCGCAAGCGAAGCUUUGAAUUUAAGCCCCAGUAAACGGCGGCCGUAACUAUAACGGUCCUAAGGUAGCGAAAUUCCUUGUCGGGUAAGUUCCGACCCGCACGAAAGGUGUAACGAUUUGGGCACUGUCUCAACGAGGGACCCGGUGAAAUUGAAGUACCUGUGAAGAUGCAGGUUACCCGCGACUGGACAGAAAGACCCCAUGGAGCUUUACUGUAACCUGAGAUUGGAUUCCGGUAAGAGAUGUACAGGAUAGUUGGGAGGCAGAGAAGUGAGUACGCCAGUAUUCACGGAGCCGCUGGUGGGAUACCAACCUUGUUUUAUUGGAAUUCUAACGAGAAGCGUAACGAGCUUGCGGACAGUCUCAGGCGGGCAGUUUGACUGGGGCGGUCGCCUCCGAAAGAGUAACGGAGGCGCCCAAAGGUUCCCUCAGCGCGGACGGAAACCGCGCGAAGAGUGCAAAGGCAGAAGGGAGCUUGACUGCGAGACGGACAGGUCGAGCAGGGACGAAAGUCGGGCUUAGUGAUCCGGUGGUAGAGAGUGGAAUUGCCAUCGCUCAACGGAUAAAAGCUACCCUGGGGAUAACAGGCUUAUCUCUCCCAAGAGUCCAUAUCGACGGGGAGGUUUGGCACCUCGAUGUCGGCUCAUCACAUCCUGGGGCUGAAGUCGGUCCCAAGGGUUGGGCUGUUCGCCCAUUAAAGUGGUACGUGAGCUGGGUUCAGAACGUCGUGAGACAGUUCGGUCCCUAUCCAUCGCGGGCGCAAGAGAUUUGAAGGGGGCUGCUCCUAGUACGAGAGGACCGGAGUGGACGAACCGCUGGUGUACCAAUUAUCCCGCCAGGGGUACAGUUGGGUAGCUACGUUCGGAAAGGAUAAACGCUGAAAGCAUCUAAGCGUGAAACCAGCCUUAAGAUGAGAUCUCUCAUAGAGCAAUCUAGU